This 1061-nucleotide ribosomal RNA is filed under the name Robbauera albescens. Its description in RNAcentral is "eukaryotic LSU rRNA". The stretch from base 598 to 1061 matches the Rfam family "Eukaryotic large subunit ribosomal RNA", at positions 1 to 460 of the family's 3401-position model. The record is from RNAcentral. Lineage: Eukaryota; Fungi; Basidiomycota; Exobasidiomycetes; Robbauerales; Robbaueraceae.
CAAGGGGGAGUAUUAGUGAUCACCGGGGUAGCCACUCUGUGGCCCCCAAACCUUCACUUUCCACACACACCUGUGCACCCGGUGGUGGGGGGUUCUUGUAAUAGAGCUCCCUCUGCUGCCUAUCUAUCACAUACCCUGAGUAUUAUGGAUGUCAGUGUAUACUUGCCUUUUUGGCAGAACUAAACACAACUUUCGACAACGGAUCUCUUGGUUCUCCCAUCGAUGAAGAACGCAGCGAAAUGCGAUAAGUAAUGUGAAUUGCAGAAUUCAGUGAAUCAUCGAAUCUUUGAACGCACCUUGCGCUCCUUGGUAUUCCGAGGAGCAUGCCUGUUUGAGUGUCAUGAAUCCCUCAAACCCCUCAGGUUUUGAAACAAAAGCCUGGGCUUGGGUUUGGAUGUGGGUGCCCUGCCAUCUUGUAUGGCUCACCCCAAAUGCAUUAGCUGGACCCUUCCUGUAACCGGUUCCACUCAGCGUGAUAAGUCAUUCGCUGAGGACAGCGAGGCAAGCCCACUUGUGGGUGCGCCCCUGCUGGCCGGACUCGGGUUGCUUGGUCUGCUUACAGCCCCGUCGCAUGACGGAAAACCAUAUUCAAUGCUCUGGCCUCAAAUCAGGUAGGAUUACCCGCUGAACUUAAGCAUAUCAAUAAGCGGAGGAAAAGAAACUAACAAGGAUUCCCCUAGUAACGGCGAGUGAAGCGGGAAGAGCUCAAAUUUGAAAGCUGGCGCCUUCGGUGUCCGCAUUGUAAUCUAGAGAGGUGUUUUCCGCGCCGGACCGCGUACAAGUUCCUUGGAACAGGACGUCAUAGAGGGUGAGAAUCCCGUACUUGACGCGGAUGCCCGGUGCUUUGUGAUACACCCUCCACGAGUCGAGUUGUUUGGGAAUGCAGCUCAAAAUGGGUGGUAAAUUCCAUCUAAAGCUAAAUAUUGGGGAGAGACCGAUAGCGAACAAGUACCGUGAGGGAAAGAUGAAAAGCACUUUGGAAAGAGAGUUAAACAGUACGUGAAAUUGUCGAUAGGGAAGCGCUUGAAGUCAGACAUGCUUGCUAGGACUCAGCCUUGCUU